AGAGUUUGAUCCUGGCUCAUGACGAACGCUGGCGGCGCGCCUAACACAUGCAAGUCGAACGAGCGAGAGAGAGCUUGCUUUCCCGAGCGAGCGGCGAACGGGUGAGUAACGCGUGAGGAACCUGCCUCAAAGAGGGGGACAACAGUUGGAAACGACUGCUAAUACCGCAUAAGCCCACAGCUCGGCAUCGAGCAGAGGGAAAAGGAGCAAUCCGCUUUGAGAUGGCCUCGCGUCCGAUUAGCUAGUUGGUGAGGUAAUGGCCCACCAAGGCGACGAUCGGUAGCCGGACUGAGAGGUUGAACGGCCACAUUGGGACUGAGACACGGCCCAGACUCCUACGGGAGGCAGCAGUGGGGAAUAUUGCACAAUGGGGGAAACCCUGAUGCAGCGACGCCGCGUGGAGGAAGAAGGUCUUCGGAUUGUAAACUCCUGUUGUUGAGGAAGAUAAUGACGGUACUCAACAAGGAAGUGACGGCUAACUACGUGCCAGCAGCCGCGGUAAAACGUAGGUCACAAGCGUGGUCCGGAAUUACUGGGUGUAGAGGGAGCGCACGUGGGAAGACAAGUUGGAAGUGACAUCUAUGGGCUCAACCCAUAAACUGCUUUCAAAACUGUUUUCUUGAGUAGUGCAGAGGUAGGCGGAAUUCCCGGUGUAGCGGUGGAAUGCGUAGAUAUCGGGAGGAACACCAGUGGCGAAGGCGGCCUACUGGGCACCAACUGACGCUGAGGCUCGAAAGUGUGGGUAGCAAACAGGAUUAGAUACCCUGGUAGUCCACACCGUAAACGAUGAUUACUAGGUGUUGGAGGAUUGACCCCUUCAGUGCCGCAGUUAACACAAUAAGUAAUCCACCUGGGGAGUACGACCGCAAGGUUGAAACUCAAAGGAGUUGACGGGGGCCCGCACAAGCAGUGGAGUAUGUGGUUUAAUUCGACGCAACGCGAAGAACCUUACCAAGUCUUGACAUCCCUUGACGAACAUAGAAAUAUGUUUUCUCUUCGGAGCAAGGAGACAGGUGGUGCAUGGUUGUCGUCAGCUCGUGUCGUGAGAUGUUGGGUUAAGUCCCGCAACGAGCGCAACCCUUACUGUCAGUUACUACGCAAGAGGACUCUGGCAGGACUGCCGUUGACAAAACGGUGGAAGGUGGGGAUGACGUCAAAUCAUCAUGCCCUUUAUGACUUGGCUACACACGUACUACAAUGGCGUUAAACAAAGAGAAGCAAGACCGCGAGGUGGAGCAAAACUCAGAAACAACGUCCCAGUUCGGACUGCAGGCUGCAACUCGCCUGCACGAAGUCGGAAUUGCUAGUAAUCGUGGAUCAGCAUGCCACGGUGAAUACGUUCCCGGGCCUUGUACACACCGCCCGUC
RNAcentral lists this ribosomal RNA (1367 nucleotides) under uncultured bacterium. RNAcentral's name for it is "bacterial SSU rRNA". It matches the Rfam family "Bacterial small subunit ribosomal RNA". The record is from RNAcentral.